GAUGAACGCUGGCGGCGUGCCUAAUACAUGCAAGUCGAGCGAACGGACGAGAAGCUUGCUUCUCUGAUGUUAGCGGCGGACGGGUGAGUAACACGUGGAUAACCUACCUAUAAGACUGGUAUAACUUCGGGAAACCGGAGCUAAUACCGGAUAAUAUUUUGAACCGCAUGGUUCAAUAGUGAAAGACGGUCUUGCUGUCACUUAUAGAUGGAUCCGCGCUGCAUUAGCUAGUUGGUAAGGUAACGGCUUACCAAGGCAACGAUGCAUAGCCGACCUGAGAGGGUGAUCGGCCACACUGGAACUGGAACACGGACAAGACUACUACGGGAGGCAGCAGUAGGGAAUCUUACGCAGUGGGCGAAAGCCUGACGGAGCAACGCCGAGUGAGUGAUGAAGGUCUUCGGAGCGUAAAACUCUGUUAUUAGGGAAGAACAUAUGUGUAAGUAACUGUGCACAUCUUGACGGUACCUAAUCAGAAAGCCACGGCUAACUACGUG
RNAcentral lists this ribosomal RNA (497 nucleotides) under uncultured bacterium. RNAcentral describes it as "partial 16S ribosomal RNA". It matches the Rfam family "Bacterial small subunit ribosomal RNA", at positions 28 to 507 of the family's 1533-position model. The record is from RNAcentral.